This 704-nucleotide long non-coding RNA is filed under the name Malus domestica (apple). RNAcentral describes it as "long non-coding RNA (MDOM_LNC003735)". The record is from RNAcentral. Lineage: Eukaryota; Viridiplantae; Streptophyta; Magnoliopsida; Rosales; Rosaceae.
ACAUUUUCUUACAAACCAUCAAUUUCACCUCACCCACCAAAAUCAACUUGCAUAUUGCACAUGCAUGCACUAAAAUUUUUUCACACUUUUCACACUCUAAAAUGGCCGGCCACCCCCUAGUGGGGGUACUUUUGGGGCCUUUUGUGCAAUUACAUAAAGUUUUGAUACUUUUGUGUAUUUGCACUUUGGCCCAAAAGUUUACGUUUUUACGUUAAGGCCCUAAAAACUCUAAAGGACAAAUUGUUUUGAUCCUUUAAUGAUGUUUUUACAUUAAUUAAAAUUUUGGGAUCUAGUUGUAAUUACAUGAAGUUGUGGACUAUUGUGUUUUUACAAAGUGACCCCAAAAGUUUUUUGUAUUUGCAUUAUGGCCCAAUUGUUGUGGUCAUAGUUUCCUUUUGGCCCAAAUAAAAUGAGAACAAAAAUUGUUUUGUCUCUUUAAUGAGAAUUGGAUUUUCAUUUCUAUUUAGUUCCAUUUAAAUCAAUUCUAUGGAUCCAAAAAACCAAUUGUUUAAAGUUGUUUUCUUAGUUAAUGUGAUUGAUUAAGAAAAGGGUGAUUAUGAACCAAAAGGCCCACGAUAAUUGAGCUAUGUGAUUGGCCGAUAUACAUUAUGAAUGUUUGGGUUUUAGUAGAGUAGAUUUGAAUGUAAUUUGAUUAAUUCAAUUUGUUGUAAAUGGACAUAAGUCCAUCAUUUGAUUUGUGUUGU